GAAUUGACGGGGCCCGCACAAGCGGUGGAGCAUGUGGUUUAAUUCGAAGCAACGCGAAGAACCUUACCAGGUCUUGACAUCCCCUGACAACCCGAGAGAUCGGGCGUUCCCCUUCGGGGGACAGGGUGACAGGUGGUGCAUGGUUGUCGUCAGCUCGUGUCGUGAGAUGUUGGGUUAAGUCCCGCAACGAGCGCAACCCUCGACCUUAGUUGCCAGCAUUCAGUUGGGCACUCUAAGGUGACUGCCGGCUAAAAGUCGGAGGAAGGUGGGGAUGACGUCAAAUCAUCAUGCCCCUUAUGACCUGGGCUACACACGUGCUACAAUGGGCGGUACAAAGGGUCGCGAACCCGCGAGGGGGAGCCAAUCCCAAAAAGCCGCUCUCAGUUCGGAUUGCAGGCUGCAACUCGCCUGCAUGAAGCCGGAAUCGCUAGUAAUCGCGGAUCAGCAUGCCGCGGUCGAAUACGUUCCCGGGCCUU
RNAcentral lists this ribosomal RNA (476 nucleotides) under uncultured Anoxybacillus sp. RNAcentral describes it as "bacterial SSU rRNA". It matches the Rfam family "Bacterial small subunit ribosomal RNA", at positions 907 to 1382 of the family's 1533-position model. The record is from RNAcentral. Lineage: Bacteria; Bacillati; Bacillota; Bacilli; Caryophanales; Anoxybacillaceae.